UAUUCUACCCCUCCAGCUUGCAUCCCUCUGCUUCCGACCUCAGAGACUGCUAGUCAUUAACAGAAUUAGACAACUUGCUAGACAGAAGAAACGGGAAAACGAGGUAGAAGGAGCAAGUGUGGUGUGGACAUUUGUGCAGUGGGCUGCAGUAGGGAGCAGGGGUUGCUGCUGAUGGGUUUCAGUGCUGUACCUAAGACUAGGAGUUGGAAGCUGUUCACUUAGCAGAGUGAGGGCUUUCCUGCUGUGUAUUCAGCACUGUAACAGUGUCUCUGGUAAGUGGAAAAGUGGGAGUGAGCUGCACUUUGUGACUGACAAGCCUCCCUCUACCACUCUCAAGGUUUUUCACCCUCAGGAGCAGCAGUGCUUUUGUGUUUUGUUUCUUUUAUUGUAUACCGACUGUUCUUUCGGUCUGUAAAUCUUGAGGCACCUGCCUUUGGUGUCAGGAGAACAGGGCGGAAGGUCUACCUGAUUGUCAAGUAACCCGCUCCCCAACCGAUCUGAUUAAAGAAAGCAGACUUUUCCUGAGGAUAUUUAGCCGUUUUAAGAUCCAUUCCUCCACUAGCCUCUCGCUUUUAUGUAGUUUAUAUGAUCAUGGAUUUGAGGGCUGUAGGAAGAAAUCCAAAACUCAUAAAUGUGCCCUGGAGAGGAGUUUACAAGCAGGCGUGGGCGAGGCCAAGGGCCCAGGCACUACACUUCCCAGGGGCUCUUUGCGGGCCCAGAUACUACACUUCCCAGGAGGCCUUUGCGGGCCGGGGGCGUGGCCUUCGAGGGCAGGGCCGGCGGCGCCAUGGCAGGCCAGGUGAAGGACCGUGAGGCUUUCCAGAGGCUCAGCUUCUUGUACCAGGCCGCCCACUGUGUCCUCGCCCAGGACCCCGAGAACCAGGCGCUGGCGAGGUUUUACUGCCACACGGAGAAGACCAUAGCAAAGCGACUCGUGCUGCGACAGGACCCCUCGGUGAAGAGGACGUUGUGUCGCGGCUGCUCCUCCCUUCUUAUCCCGGGCCUCACCUGCACCCAGCGCCAGAGACGCCGCCGGGGCCAGCGCUGGACAGUACAGACCUGCCUGACAUGCCAGCGCAGCCAGCGCUUCCUCAAUGAUCCUAGGCAUCUGCUCUGGGGGGACCGACCUGAGGCGCAGCUGGGGAGCCAAGCAGGCUCCCACAGCAAAAAGAUUUCAGAACCACUGUGUCCCAGCAGUGGAUGCCCAAGGUAGAACAGAGGCCGGAGUUUAGUGUCCUGAACAAGCAAUGCACCAGACCCAUCAAGAGCAGCGUGUGAGGAUUUACCCGAGGCACCUGAGGACCCCUCCACACCUAUAAUGCAGGUGAGGCUGAUGAGUGGUGAGGGCACAGCCAGCAAGAAUUGCCAGGGACGGUGACAUCCACCUGUUGUGCCAAGCGAGCCGAUAAAUCACCAAACACUGGGACCAACAACAAAGUUAAACUGAAAGGCGUUUAUUCACGCGCGUGGACUCCACUCCCUAAGCGAAGUGAAGCCCUGAGUCCAGGAACAGCACAGUUUAUAUAGGGCGUUAUAGCAGCAUAGCUUUUAUAGGUGUUAUUUUAAGAAGAGAAGUCCAAGGGGAGGUUAAUUCACAGCUCAGCUAUCUUGCUGUCUUGUCAGAUUAGGGCAAUUUACGGUAAAGGGAGGCACCAGGCACUAUCUCUUUCCGAGAAGCGAUGAAGCAAGUUUACAGAAGCAGAACAAGCAGUUGGAGGGGCAUGAGGGGAGUUCAUUUGCCGGCCAAGAUGGUGUUUCUUGGGUUUAUCCUGGUCUCACACCCCCAGACACACCCUGGUGAACCCACAGUAUUUUGAUUUUGUUCCAGGUUUAUUUUCAAGCCAAGCUGUAAGUGAGCACCUCUGACCAAUCGCAGAGUUUCUGCCUGACAUGGGAGGGGUGUGGCAGUGUAAAUAGGGCUGACCAGAUGCCACCCUGCUGUCACAGGCCCUGGGGACCUGACUGGUGCUUCUCUGGCUACAGGCAGUUGGCACAGUGGUGCUGUUCACAUCACAGAGACGCGGGACUGCGGUCCUGUGCCCUGGCUGCCGCUGGCACCGUGAUAAGCAUUCUGUGAGCGAUGUGUCCCGAAGGCCUCCCUGGGAGUCUGUGGAGGGGCUCUGCAGACACUUGGCCUGGGAAGGGACAGCUGAGACAAGGCUGGAAAGGAUGGCUCUCUGGGAAGCCACUGGCCAGCAGCACGGGAACCAAGCAGUGCAGGAGAGAUUGUUUCUCAAGCCCCAUCCUCCUGCCCACCCACACAGCCUUUCAGGACCUGACUCUGGGUCGGGACCAGAAGCCUCCUUUUCUCUCUUCAGAUGGAGCUUCACGCCGUGGCCCAGUUCACUUGUCGCAGGGCCUGAGCAGGAGUAGAUCCUAGCAGACUUCCUUGCAUCCAGCUGAUGCAUGAGUUUUGUGCGCCUUCUCCCCAAGCAAAUUGACCUCAGUUCAUGGGCAGUCACAUGAUUUCUGCACAAAUGGUGUGUGGGAGGCCAACCAAACUCCCUAAAUUAUCUCUGACCCUUUCCCUCAGACGACCCCCUCCCCCGCCAAAAAAUCACGUGACCAAUGACCCCACCUCCAGUGAGGUCACCCUGAGGUGCUGGGGCCUGGGCUUCUACCCUGCCAAGAUCUCCGUGACCUGGCAGCGGGAUGGGGAGGACCUGACCCAGGACAUGGAGCUGGUGGGGACCAGGCCUGCAGGGGACGGGACCUUCCAGAUGUGGGCGGCUGUGGUGGUGCCCUCCGAAGAGGAGCAGCAUUACACGUGCCGAGUGCAGCACAAGGGGCUGCCUGAGCCCCGCACCCUGACGUGGGGUAGGGGAUGGCGCACAGGGCCUCUUUUCAGGGAACGGAGGACGCCCUCAGCAGGGUCGGAGCUCCGCGCUGGGGCAGGGCCUUUCACCUUCUCUCCCUCCUCAGAGUGGCCUCCUCGGCUCACCGUGCCCCCCCCCAAGCCAGCACCUGCCAACUCUGCGGUUCUGACAGCGGCUCUUGCGAUCUGCGUGGAGUAGUCUUCAUCUGCAUCAGAGCGCAGUCACAACUGAGACUUCAGUGAUCCCCUGAUGCUGUGAUUCUCCAGGAGAAGACCACACCUGAG
RNA transcript from Heterocephalus glaber (naked mole-rat), 3100 nucleotides. It is a transcript of the gene named ribonuclease P subunit p21, with no coding region annotated. The record is from RefSeq and is a predicted model, not a curated record. NCBI's taxonomy places the organism in Eukaryota, Metazoa, Chordata, Mammalia, Rodentia, Bathyergidae.